This 449-nucleotide ribosomal RNA is filed under the name uncultured bacterium. RNAcentral describes it as "bacterial SSU rRNA". It matches the Rfam family "Bacterial small subunit ribosomal RNA", at positions 28 to 478 of the family's 1533-position model. The record is from RNAcentral.
GAUGAACGCUGGCGGCGUGCUUAACACAUGCAAGUCGAACGGGAAAUACUUUAUUGAAACUUCGGUCGAUUUAAUUUAUUUCUAGUGGCGGACGGGUGAGUAACGCGUGGGUAACCUGCCUUAUACUGGGGGAUAACAGCCAGAAAUGACUGCUAAUACCGCAUAAGCGCACAGAACCGCAUGGUUCCGUGUGAAAAACUCCGGUGGUAUAAGAUGGACCCGCGUUGGAUUAGUUAGUUGGCAGGGCAGCGGCCUACCAAGGCGACGAUCCAUAGCCGGCCUGAGAGGGUGAACGGCCACAUUGGGACUGAGACACGGCCCAGACUCCUACGGGAGGCAGCAGUGGGGAAUAUUGCACAAUGGGGGAAACCCUGAUGCAGCGACGCCGCGUGAAGGAAGAAGUAUCUCGGUAUGUAAACUUCUAUCAGCAGGGAAGAUAAUGACGGUAC